UGGGGUCUCACCGGCCACUAUAUGUUGCUGUGCUCUCAUACUGGCCAGCGAAAUCCCAAA
This 60-nucleotide microRNA precursor is filed under the name Ptychodera flava. RNAcentral's name for it is "Pfl-Mir-193-P1d_pre stem-loop". Lineage: Eukaryota; Metazoa; Hemichordata; Enteropneusta; Ptychoderidae. The record is from RNAcentral.